This 1153-nucleotide long non-coding RNA is filed under the name Cyanistes caeruleus (blue tit). RNAcentral describes it as "lncRNA (ENSCCEG00000020580.1)". The record is from RNAcentral. Lineage: Eukaryota; Metazoa; Chordata; Aves; Passeriformes; Paridae.
GUCUCCCCUCAUCCCUGCUCACUCUGCAUUGAUUCAAUUCACAGGCUGAGUCUUGGAGCUCAUAAACAGAACAAUGUGCUUCAGAACUGCAAUUGAAAUACUGAAAUUGAAAUAUGGCUCCAGCCAUAAGUGGGUGCUCAGUUUGGGGAACAGAUGAGAAGCACCAGGCUCAGACUGAGUGUGGUGGGACCUCUGCAUCACUCCUGCACCCUGCAGCCCUGUUCCCUCUGCUCAGCAAGGCUUGCAAGGGCAGACAGAGCUCAAGGGUAACAGGAAAUGCAAAGGCACUACAGCAAAGUGUUCCUGUUCCAGAUAGCUCGUGUAACCCCAGUUCUGUCCCUGGCUUUGCAUCUCGUGGAAGCCUUCAAUGUCACAAUUGCCCAUUGAGCUGUUCUGCAAAAUUUCUUGCUUCAGUCAGUGCAUUCCACAGACUUUUACUGGGGAAGGAGGCAGAAAAUCACUAUUUCACUAUCAACUUCAGGACAUUUUUAAAAUUCAUGAGAGGAUCCAGAAUGCAAUCCAUUGCUGGAAACUGGAUGUGCCCCUCCAUUCACCUGAGGAACAUCAGCUCCAUUGCUGCAGCUCAGCCUCUCAGCCUCUGCACCUGAAGAAUGUUGGGUUUAUGGUAUUUUAUGCUGGAAGAUGUGUGUGCUCCUAGGAAACCCAACAAACCAGAGCAGAAGAAAAGACUGGAAAGUAAAACAUGAGGUUAUGGGGGAAAAUGCAAGAGAUACAGAAGAUCAUUUAGUCAAAUCUUGUGGGUUUAGUGUAAUACCACAAAUACAAUGCUCUGAGCAUUCUGAGGCCUCCUUCUUUAUAAUUCUACACCACAUGCUGAAUUUUCAAUUCUGUGGUUGAGAUACCUUGCAGUCACCUUGAUCUAUUUUACAGCUUUAUUUUCAAUAUUUUAUGUAGGUUGUGUGGGUCUUUUUGGCUUUUAUCUUUCUGUGAUGGUAGAGAUAACAUUGGCAGAAUACAGAAACAGCUGAAACAAGAUGUACUCUCAGUCUUCAUGGAAAUUCCAGUUAUUUUCUGCUUUUGUUGCAAACUAGUGGUGAAAUUGUUCAGGAACCAACAUCCAGGGCUGAACAUCUUUAGAAAAUCUUUGUCCCCUGUUGAAUAAAUUACCAAAGAAAAAGAAAGUAUGCUUUCA